AGGUCAUAUCACGUUGAAACACCGGCUCCCGUACGAUCACCGAAGUUAAGCAACGUCGAACCAUGUCAGUACCUAGUUGGGUGACAGCUAAGGAAUGCCACGUGCCGUAAG
Molecule: non-coding RNA, 111 nt
Organism: Acanthosepion pharaonis
Lineage: Eukaryota; Metazoa; Mollusca; Cephalopoda; Sepiida; Sepiidae
Source: the annotation of a GenBank genome assembly